Long non-coding RNA from Etheostoma spectabile (orangethroat darter), 204 nucleotides. RefSeq lists it as uncharacterized. The record is from RefSeq and is a predicted model, not a curated record. The transcript is spliced from 2 exons. Lineage: Eukaryota; Metazoa; Chordata; Actinopteri; Perciformes; Percidae.
CAUUCUACAUUUUUACUGGCCCUGAAAGAAAUAUCAUAUCAUCACAAAAGACAAAAAAAGCAGGAAAAAUGAUUACCCAGCUAGCCACUGCCACUGUAUGUUGUGCCAUUAUCAGUAAAGCUAGACCAGGGGUCAUCAACUACAUUUUUACAAGGGCCAGAAUUUUUUUAAGCAAACACUCCGGGGGCCGGACUUUCAAAUAAA